UACGAAGGGGGCUAGCGUUGUUCGGAAUCACUGGGCGUAAAGCGCACGCAGGCGGAUCGAUAAGUCGGGGGUGAAAGCCCGGGGCUCAACCUCGGAAUUGCCUUCGAUACUGUCGGUCUCGAGUCCGGGAGAGGUGAGUGGAAUUCCUAGUGUAGAGGUGAAAUUCGUAGAUAUUAGGAAGAACACCAGUGGCGAAGGCGGCUCACUGGCCCGGUACUGACGCUCAGGCGCGACAGCGUGGGGAGCAAACCGG
RNAcentral lists this ribosomal RNA (253 nucleotides) under uncultured bacterium. RNAcentral describes it as "partial 16S ribosomal RNA". It matches the Rfam family "Bacterial small subunit ribosomal RNA", at positions 524 to 776 of the family's 1533-position model. The record is from RNAcentral.